UCUAAGAGGGAGUCAUCUUAGCAACUAGUGCAAGUGACAUCCAAAAAUUUUUCUUUACACAUUAGCUUAUGCAUUUGCACCAUUUAUAUAUGUGAGUACUAAUGUUAUUUUAUAAUUGAUCGAUUAGUGUCCAAGACAAGAAGGAGGGUUCGAAUGUGGCUACUUUGUUAUGAGAUUCAUUAAAGAGAUAAUUUUUUAUCCUACAAUUAUUGCUUCAAAGUUUUGUGAUAAAAAAAACAUAUUCUCAAGUAGAAUUAUAUUUCCAUUUAUUCAUCAGAAGAAGCGCCCUUCGAUGAAAUUAGAGGAGAAUGGGCUACUUUUGUGCUACAACUAAUCAUGAAUCAUGUUAAUGCAUCAUGAUCACCAUGCAUGGUAUACACUCUUGGGAUGGUGAAAUGGAGAAUAAAAAGAAAGAAGAAGGCAACAAGAUUUUGGGUUUUUAAAUGCAACUCUUAUGUUAUACGUUGUAGGACAUAAACGUUACUUUAAUUGCAACUGAGAAAUUUAGAUUUUUAGAUGGGACUUUUAUGUCA
Molecule: long non-coding RNA, 533 nt
Organism: Vitis vinifera (wine grape)
Lineage: Eukaryota; Viridiplantae; Streptophyta; Magnoliopsida; Vitales; Vitaceae
Exons: 3
Source: RefSeq, a predicted model, not a curated record